This 337-nucleotide ribosomal RNA is filed under the name Tiaroga cobitis (loach minnow). Its description in RNAcentral is "partial 16S ribosomal RNA". It matches the Rfam family "Bacterial large subunit ribosomal RNA", at positions 675 to 1081 of the family's 2925-position model. The record is from RNAcentral. Lineage: Eukaryota; Metazoa; Chordata; Actinopteri; Cypriniformes; Leuciscidae.
CAGUACCCUCAAGCAAAGAGACCUUUAGUUUGAUACCCCGAAACCAGGUGAGCUACCCCGAGACAGCCUAUGUAAUUUAGGGCUAACCCGUCUCUGUGGCAAAAGAGUGGGAAGAGCUCCGGGUAGAAGUGACAGACCUACCGAACCUGGUGAUAGCUGGUUGCCUGAGAGAUGGAUAGAAGUUCAGCCUCGCACCCCCCGAGUCAACAAACGUGUCAUCAAGAUGCUACGGGAGAAGUGCGAGAGUUAGUUGAAGGGGGUACAGCCCGUUUAACAAAGGAUACAACCUUCGCAGGAGGAUAAAGAUCAUAAUAUUUAAGACAUACUGUUCUAGUGG